CUAUUAGCAUCAUGAAACCCACUGCUGAAUGCACCCUCUUGAUUACAGUGCAUGUUAUUUAGACUCCAGCUUACGAUGGGAAAAUAAAGCUCUGACGGGGAAAGUCACUACUGGUGGCAGACAUGCUGAACAGGACAUACCUUCCUGAGCACAACACAGAUGGCACUGCAGAACAAGAGAGAAAGUCUAUCAGCAUGCUACAUUACCUUCGCAUCUGGGAAGCUCCAGGCAAUCCAGCAAGGCACUGAAGAGGAUCGGGUGCUGCAGGCAGGAAAACUGCGUAAUCCGAGGAUAGCCAGAGAAAAUGACACAGGAAGAUACCUUCCUGCCUAUCUGGCAUGAUAAACCACAGUGAAAACAAAGAUCCUGGCAAGGACAAAUUUAGGCUGCAUUUAUAAUUGCAGGUAAGCUUUAUCUUGAGAGAGAUGUUGAACCCAGCCUCAAACUGAGCUUAAUUGAGUCUAAUGAACAGAUUUCACCAGUAGCUAAGUGCCCAUACAAUUGCUUGAUCACUGUCUCCUUCCAUUUAAGCACUUGAACAGGCUUCCCCAGGGCAGUGGUUGUUGCACAAAGCCGGCUAGAGUUCAAGAAACAUUUGGACCACAACCCAUGCAGUUUGAAUUUUGUGUGGUCCUUUGUGAAACUGUGAGGUGACUUGUGGGUCCCUCUCAACUUAGAAUGUUCUAUGAAUCUGUGAUUUAUUUUAUCUCAGAUUGUUAUCUUGCCCCUUUCCAUAAACAAACAAUAGUAAGGCAACAUAAAACAACAAUUUUGCAUCAAGAAAAGGCAACAUAUUUAAUUUUAUAUAUAUUUUGCUGAUUGCUACUUCUGCAUUUAUUGUGACACUUGAGAGACUUCAGUCUUGGGAAUAAAGGGUAGUUUGAUAGACA
Molecule: long non-coding RNA, 890 nt
Filed under: Phasianus colchicus (ring-necked pheasant)
Lineage: Eukaryota; Metazoa; Chordata; Aves; Galliformes; Phasianidae
Description: lncRNA (ENSPCLG00000003068.1)
Source: RNAcentral